This 432-nucleotide ribosomal RNA is filed under the name uncultured eukaryote. Its description in RNAcentral is "bacterial SSU rRNA". It matches the Rfam family "Eukaryotic small subunit ribosomal RNA", at positions 592 to 1017 of the family's 1831-position model. The record is from RNAcentral.
CAAUAGCGUAUAUUAAAGUUGUUGCAGUUAAAAGCUCGUAGUUGGAUUUGUGGUUGGAGUGGUCGGUCCGACACAGUGUGUGGGUACUUGACUUUCUCCGUCCAUCCUUGGGUGGAAUCUGUGUGGCAUUAAGUUGUCGUGCAGGGAUGCCAUCAUUAUCUGUGAAAAAUUAGAGUGUUCAAAGCAGGCUUACGCCGUUGAAUAUAUUAGCAUGGAAUAAUGAGAUAGGACCUUGGUACUAUUUUGUUGGUUUGCGCACCGAGGUAAUGAUUAAUAGGGACAGUUGGGGUGAUUCUGUAUUCCAUUUCGUUCUCAAGGAAGGGUUGAAAAUUUCUUGGAUUUCUGGAAGACGAACUACUGCGAAAGCAUUUACCAAGGAUGUUUUCAUUAAUCAAGAACGAAAGUUAGGGGAUCGAAGACGAUUAGAUACCA